Molecule: long non-coding RNA, 1331 nt
Organism: Amphimedon queenslandica
Lineage: Eukaryota; Metazoa; Porifera; Demospongiae; Haplosclerida; Niphatidae
Exons: 4
Source: RefSeq, a predicted model, not a curated record
GUGGGUGUGGUCUGUGGAAAGUGCAAAUAAGGAUUUAUAAUUUUGAGAAGAGACUAUGAAGUGAGACAGCUUGUGGAGACUGGAGGCAAGUGCAAAGAUGGCUGAUUAAAGAGCCUCAGCAUGAACAGCUGAACAGGGGCUCAAAGAAUGGCAUGAAGACCACAUUACUACUGAAUUGGACAUAUACAUGAUCCAGUAGUCUAUUAUUAUUCUACACUAGGUCAUAUACACGUAGGAUGCAAGACCUCUAGAAGUUACAAAUGCAAGGCUAGAACUAUAUCAGUUCAAAGUGUAGUACUGUGGCAAACCAAACUGAAACCAUGCAUCUAUUAAAGUAAUGCCCCCUUCUCUCAGCCCAUCAGGCAAGGAUGGAGGAAUACAUGGGGCAUUAUUUUUAUUGUACACUAUACAUAUAUAGACAGCAAAUACUUGUAGAUCAUAGGGAAGUUUGAUAACUAUUGUUCUUAUGUGAUUUGUUGUUGUAUCAUAGGCAUGAAAUUCUUAAUUGCUACAUACUCCAGAAAAGUAGCAACUGGCACUGGCUCAUGCAUGCAUAUAAGGAUCUGGUCUAUAUGAGAGUAACAAAUUUCCAAGUAAAAUAGUGAUUUGGUGGAAAUUCCUGGAACUAGUGUUUGCAUGGUUGACGAGGAUUGUAGGAUUGGCUGUUAUGAUAAUAGUGAUGAUAGAAAUGCUCUUGCUAUAUGACCAAAUAAGGACAAUUCUGAUUCAGAGGAAAACAGGUGCAGUUGUUUUGAUAAUUUUGGGUUAUAAGGUGACUCCCAUAUUAACUGAUUGUGAUAGGUCAAAUGAUAAAAUUGUUGUGGUUGUGUAUUAGAAUGAACAGAUGGUGCACACUAUUCUUACAUCAAAACUUAAUAACAAAGAACUAUUCUGACAGCAAGCGUGAGACAAUCAUUGCAUGAAUAGCAAGUAUAACUCUGGUCUUGUAUAACUCACAUAACUUUAGUUCACUUCUUGAAGUCAACAGAUAAUAUCAUAACACUAAUAUUGGUGACAAGCUGAAGAGUAAAGACACUUAUAAUUUUUUGUACACUCCCAGGACCGAGUGCAGUCAGUGUUGAACAGGUAUGAGUGUAUUGUUAUUAUAUCUCGAGUACAAAAUUAGAAGCAGGCAUUAAGAAAUUUCUGGCAAGUGGACAAUCAGAACAGCUAAACUGAACACUAUUAACAGUAAUGAUAAAACUUCUGAAAGAAAACUUUCAUAUGAUUUUGUAUGACCACUCAAAACAGCAAUUAAUUGGUCAUCCUGUCUGAAUUAUUAUUUUGAUAAUAUUAUUUAUUACAAUGCACAGCACUAUUUAUCAGUUACA